UGCAGAGCCUGGGGUUUGGCUGGUGAGGGGCUUUCACAUGGGGCUCGCCCCUCCCUGCUUUGUGACAAAGGUUAAAUGAGCCUCGUUGGAGACACUGUUGCUGACAGAAGGAGGAAGGAUAUAAUCAAAUUCAUUUAGGCAGAUGGGCAUGAGGGGAGAAUGAAAUCCGCACCCUGCCCUGCUGAGGGGUAGUGGGCACUGCCAGAGGUGUCAGCAGCUGAAGGACAUAGGCAGGACUCCAGCAGACACAGGAUUUGGGCCCUGGCUGCUUUCGGAAAGUGAUCUCCUGCUCCUGUCCCUGCUGGUCACCCUGUGCCGGCAGGGUGGAUUUGAGAGUCCCAGGUGUGCACAGACAAGAAUUCUCUGUUGGAACCUGCUGGCAAAAAAAUGUUCUCAUUUCUCAUAAAACCUGUUCCACCAAACCAGUGAAGGAUCUGUCCCAUUGAGGGGAAGUGAAGGGAAAAAAUUGUCAGCUUCUCCUUGGCAUUCCUCAGUGAUCCUGGCGCACUGUGAUGUCCCUGUGGAUCACGGCAGAGCCCUGCCUGUCUCUCCGGAGUGCUGUGACUGCACGGCCCCGAGCAUGAACUCACUUUGCCCGAUGGAGAUGGCCCUGGAAUGGU
Molecule: long non-coding RNA, 620 nt
Organism: Hirundo rustica (Barn swallow)
Lineage: Eukaryota; Metazoa; Chordata; Aves; Passeriformes; Hirundinidae
Exons: 3
Source: RefSeq, a predicted model, not a curated record